Molecule: ribosomal RNA, 406 nt
Filed under: uncultured bacterium
Lineage: Bacteria
Description: partial 16S ribosomal RNA
Rfam family: Bacterial small subunit ribosomal RNA
Source: RNAcentral
AUAUUGCGCAAUGGAGGGAACUCUGACGCAGCGACGCCGCGUGAGCGAUGAAGGUCUNNNGAUCGNACAGCUCUGUCCUUGGGNAAGNAGGUCUUCGGACUUGACGGUACCUUAGGAGCAAGCCCCGGCUAACUCUGUGCCAGCAGCCGCGGUAAUACAGAGGGUGCAAGCGUUAAUCGGAAUUACUGGGCGUAAAGGGUGCGUAGGCGGCCCUUUAAGUCAGAUGUGAAAGGCCACGGCUUAACCGUGGAACUGCAUUUGAAACUGGAAGGCUUGAGUAUCGGAGAGGGUAGUGGAAUUCCCAGUGUAGCGGUGAAAUGCGUAGAUAUUGGGAGGAACACCAGUGGCGAAGGCGACUACCUGGACGAAAACUGACGCUGAUGCACGAAAGCUAGGGGAGCAAACA